Molecule: ribosomal RNA, 1026 nt
Filed under: Bacillus sp. SLP10
Lineage: Bacteria; Bacillati; Bacillota; Bacilli; Caryophanales; Bacillaceae
Description: bacterial SSU rRNA
Rfam family: Bacterial small subunit ribosomal RNA
Source: RNAcentral
AGUANGGAAUCUUCCGCAAUGGACGAAAGUCUGACGGAGCAACGCCGCGUGAGUGAUGAAGGUUUUCGGAUCGUAAAGCUCUGUUGUUAGGGAAGAACAAGUGCCGUUCAAAUAGGGCGGCACCUUGACGGUACCUAACCAGAAAGCCACGGCUAACUACGUGCCAGCAGCCGCGGUAAUACGUAGGUGGCAAGCGUUGUCCGGAAUUAUUGGGCGUAAAGGGCUCGCAGGCGGUUUCUUAAGUCUGAUGUGAAAGCCCCCGGCUCAACCGGGGAGGGUCAUUGGAAACUGGGGAACUUGAGUGCAGAAGAGGAGAGUGGAAUUCCACGUGUAGCGGUGAAAUGCGUAGAGAUGUGGAGGAACACCAGUGGCGAAGGCGACUCUCUGGUCUGUAACUGACGCUGAGGAGCGAAAGCGUGGGGAGCGAACAGGAUUAGAUACCCUGGUAGUCCACGCCGUAAACGAUGAGUGCUAAGUGUUAGGGGGUUUCCGCCCCUUAGUGCUGCAGCUAACGCAUUAAGCACUCCGCCUGGGGAGUACGGUCGCAAGACUGAAACUCAAAGGAAUUGACGGGGGCCCGCACAAGCGGUGGAGCAUGUGGUUUAAUUCGAAGCAACGCGAAGAACCUUACCAGGUCUUGACAUCCUCUGACAAUCCUAGAGAUAGGACGUCCCCUUCGGGGGCAGAGUGACAGGUGGUGCAUGGUUGUCGUCAGCUCGUGUCGUGAGAUGUUGGGUUAAGUCCCGCAACGAGCGCAACCCUUGAUCUUAGUUGCCAGCAUUCAGUUGGGCACUCUAAGGUGACUGCCGGUGACAAACCGGAGGAAGGUGGGGAUGACGUCAAAUCAUCAUGCCCCUUAUGACCUGGGCUACACACGUGCUACAAUGGACAGAACAAAGGGCAGCGAAACCGCGAGGUUAAGCCAAUCCCACAAAUCUGUUCUCAGUUCGGAUCGCAGUCUGCAACUCGACUGCGUGAAGCUGGAAUCGCUAGNNAUCGCGGAUCAGCAUGCCGCGGGAAUACUUA